Macadamia integrifolia is the source of this 3765-nucleotide RNA transcript. RefSeq lists it as uncharacterized. The record is from RefSeq and is a predicted model, not a curated record. NCBI's taxonomy places the organism in Eukaryota, Viridiplantae, Streptophyta, Magnoliopsida, Proteales, Proteaceae. The transcript has 6 exons.
GACACGUUAGUCACAAAUGGUCCAAAUUUUAUUCAUUUAUUUAAUUUUUAUUUCUUUGCCUCUAAUUUUCCCAACUCCCUGCGAAUUUCAGAGUUUGGCGGUGAUGUUGAUUGGAUCGAUUGAUUAAUUGCUUCAGUUUUUUCAUUCAUCCUCUUCUCGACUUCAAAUCCACUUGAUCGAUGGUGUUUUGGCCAUUCGGAUUCGUCGCUUUCAGGAGUCAAAAGUUAUUUUGAACUCUAUUUAAAGUUCGGUUUCAGGAUGGAAUAGGAUUGUUUUGGAUCAUUAUAUGGAGGAAUGUAACCAACAGUUAACAGGUGAUUAUUGGAAUGGAGUGAAAUUUUUUAUUGGCCUAGAGUAGAAUAGCACAAUAUGUUGAUGAUGGUCUUAAAAAACUUCCACUAGCUAUACCUGCCACACCUAGAAUGACAAAGGAGCUUCCAUCACAAUUAUGCUCCAAAAAUCCUUGAAAGUAGGAAUGACAGCAUAAGGAUGCCACAAGUAAUAAAACAUGGACAAAAUACUAAUUUUAGAACAAUAAACAAUAGGUAGAUGAUGGGAGUCUGUUUCUACUUCUGUUAUGUAACAAUACCAAGAACUAAAAACCAGUAAUCACACGAGAGGGAGAGACUGCCAAGGAGAUCAGAAGAAUCAAUAUCUUGGGAGUUCCCCUACGGUAUAUAUAUAUAUAUAUAUGUGAGGAAAUUUCACUCCCCUCCCCUGGCGUUUCCAUUUAUUACACUCCCUUCCCCAGUGAAGUUUAAAAUUACAUAACGAUCCCUUUGAUAUUGUAGAUUCUAUCAAUCGUACCCACGCUUUGAACUGUCCACCGUUAAAGUGACUAAUGUAGAAGUAGGUUACACUAGGUAACAACUUCCAAUUUAUUAAAGCUCUAACCAACUCAAUUCUGAUCCCACAAGUUAGUCUUAACAGAAACCAGAAAAUAGGUUCAGAAACAAAGAAAAUCAAAACCAGAAUUUUAGAUGACCAAACCUUUUCUAAGGAAUCAGAAAUAGCUUCCAGUAUAAGCACUUGCAGCAACAAGAGCUAUUUCAGAAAACAAACCGACAGCAACAGAUAAUGCCCAGGCGGAACUGGUUUUGGCCAGAUUAGAGGGAGAAUUUGUAACUGAGAUCUGGUGGAGUAACAGAGGGUAAAUACUUGGUCAAUUGUUCCCCUUAGAAUGGUUCUUAACUCCUUCAAAUGGUUUCCAAAAAUACUGAACAGAAGUUGAGUAACAGGUCCUGUCGAUUCUCCUUAAAUCCCUAACUUCUGAGAAAAUCAAUGGCUGAUUUGUGGCUCUCCUUGUUCUGCAACUAUAGCUCUGUUGGACCUUCAAUCGAUGCUUUAAAAAUACUCUAUGAUCUCUCUCCCUCACAAGCACAAAUAAAGAAGGAGAUAAAGAAAAGAAAAUAGAACAGAUGGAGGGUUGAGAAGUGUGAAAGAGAAUAAUGGAAUGGGUAUCUCACCCCUUAGGUGAUGUAGAUCCCCAUCAUGGGAUCCAUUACCGAAGGAGGAAUAAGCAACCUUGAAGCUACCAGACAGUAUAGGAAGCUCCCCUGUGCUGCUAUUUUAGUUUCCUAAUUUAGUAGUAUGGUUAUGUUUUAGGAAGUCCUAUUAGCUGCUAUUUUGUUUCCUAAAUUAGAAGUUAUUGGUAGUUUCUAUUUUGCAUUAGUUUUUAUUUUGAAUUAGUUGCUAAUUGCAUUAGUUUCUAUUUUGAAUUAGCUUCUAUUUUCAUUAGUUGCUAAUUUGAAUUAGUUGCUAAUUGCAUUAGUUGCUAUUUUGAUUUAGCUUCUAUUUUCCUUAGUUUUUAUUUUUUUAAGUUUCUAAUUUUUGUAAUUCAGACCUCUAUAUAAAGAGGUUGCUGUAGACACAAAUUACAAUUGAAUUAAUGAAGAUUGCUGCAGUUUUUUGCUUGCUCCCUCUCGAGAGAAAGGAAGACAAUAGCUGGGAUAGCUGUGGGUGAGAUUCCCAGGCUGAGAUAGCCAAUCCCACCCACAUCUAUCUUGACUUACAUCUUCUUUUCUUCUUCUUUUCUUGUUCUCUGUUAUUGCUUGUGUGAGAGAGAUCUAAGAGUAAUUUUGGAGCAUCGAUUGGAGGUUCUAUCGAGUCCAGUUGCAGGGCCAACCAUCGUUUCUUCUCAGAAGCAAGGGAUUUCAGAAGUAGCGAUAGGACCUAUUCUCUCAACCUCUGUUCAGUAUUUCUGGAAACCUUUUGGAGGAGUUAAAGACCAUUCUAAGGGGAACAAUCGACCAGGUAUUUACCCUCUGAUACUCAACCAGAUAUCAUUUACAAACCCUCCCUCUAAUCUAGCCGAAACUAAGGCUCUGUACUGUAAUCUUCUAAAAAAUCAAUUCUAUCAUUUUUUCAUUUUUUUGAAACAAAAAUGGGGUAAAAGCUGUAUGGUAAGUCCGGUUCAAUUUCUUGUUUUUUUGAAAUGAACCGGCACUUUUUAGGUUUUGGAAUCCAUUUUUUUAAGCAUGAAAAGUAAACUUCUCACACUCAGAAUCGAUUCUGAGAAAAAGGCGCAGAAUGAAAGGUUCCACUUAAGUACGAAAGGGUAAAAACGAUAUUUGCGGUCAAAACAUAAGAAAAUGGUAAGCCAUUACAUGAAACCCUAUUUCUUCUUUCUUGGAAAUCCUGAAGAGAGAAGCAGAGCCUAGCGGGAAGUGGAUGCUCCAGCCGUCGACAAGAAUCUAGAGAAAGAAGCUUCUUCGCCUGCCGUGGACGAGAAACUGUAUUCAGGUCAAGGGUUUUGGACUCCUCUGUGCACGAAGACGCACAAGAUCUGCGAGGUUUCUUGUCACUUCAGUGGGGUUUGAACUUUGCUCAGAGUUUUUGGCAAUGGAGCCAUAUUGGAAUCCUCCUUGGGAUAGUCAGAGUCUGGGGUUUAUAACACAUGGAAGGAAAGGAGAUACGACCUGGAAUGUUAUGUGUGCUUGUGACCUUGACAUGAAAUUCACUUUUGUGUAUGCUGGUUGGGAGGGUUCUGCAAAUGAUUGUCGAGUAUUCAAUGAGGCAUUGAAUAACCCUAAAUUUGAAUUUCCUCAUCCUCCACCUGGUAAAUAUUAUGUGGUUGAUUCUGGUUAUCCAUCUACUACUGGGUUCUUGACGCCGUUCAAAGGACAAAGAUACCAUCUAAAUGAUUAUAGGAAUAGACGUCCAAGGACAACAGUAGAGCUAUUUAAUAAUAGACACUCUUCUGUUAGGAAUGUCAUAGAGCGCAGUUUUGGUUCUUUGAAGAAGCGCUUCCCAUUCUCAGCAAAAUGCCAUGUUUUCCACUGAACACCCAAACAUGCAUCGUCAUUGCUUGUUGUGCACUUCACAACUUCAUUCGGGAGGAAGAAAUUGCAGACAAGAAUUUUGAAGAGUUUGGUGAAAAUUGGUGGAAUCAAGAGCCUGAAGAAAUUCAAGAUUAUGUACCGCCGGCUCACAUUAGUAUAAGCUUAGCAGAAAGAAGAAGACAGAUGGAUGAUCUUAGGAAAAAGAUUGCAAAUGAGUUAGCUGUUAAAGCCGGAAUGACUCAAAUUAUAUGAUUACAUUUUGAUGAUUGGAUUUAAACUUUAAAGUAGUUGGACAUGUUUAGCACUUAAGAAUUAAGUUGGAAGACCUAAUUUAUGCCCUUAAGUUCAUAACUAAAUACUUUAACGAUUAUGUCAAUACUUGAAUUUAUUCUUGUUCAUGCUUUUAUGUUAUUAUGAUAGAUCAUAUUUUUGUUCAAACAUUUCAAAUUUCAUAUGGCAAGGAAACACGGCCAAAUAUUUCAUA